UACGAAGGGUGCAAGCGUUACUCGGAAUUACUGGGCGUAAAGCGUGCGUAGGUGGUUUGUUGCGUCGGCUGUGAAAACCCAUGGCUUAACCGUGGGCUUGCAGCCGAUACGGGCAGGCUAGAGUUCGGUAGGGGAGACUGGAAUUCUUGGUGUAGCGGUGAAAUGCGUAGAUAUCAAGAGGAACACCUGCGGCGAAGGCGGGUUGCUGGGCCGACACUGACGCUGAGGCGCGAAAGCCAGGGGAGCGAACGGG
This 253-nucleotide ribosomal RNA is filed under the name uncultured bacterium. RNAcentral's name for it is "partial 16S ribosomal RNA". It matches the Rfam family "Bacterial small subunit ribosomal RNA", at positions 524 to 776 of the family's 1533-position model. The record is from RNAcentral.